This is a long non-coding RNA of Talpa occidentalis (Iberian mole), 309 nucleotides long. RefSeq lists it as uncharacterized. Lineage: Eukaryota; Metazoa; Chordata; Mammalia; Eulipotyphla; Talpidae. The transcript is spliced from 3 exons. The record is from RefSeq and is a predicted model, not a curated record.
CGAUGUCCUUGCGAUAUACUUAGGAAAAGGUUUCCAUGGCAACAGUGGCAGUAAUUCACCACAGAGAAAGCAAAGGAAAUUUAAAUCAGCAAAUGCAGUUCUCCAGCCUCCUUCCUCAUCCACGCCUGAGGCUAUAAAAGCAUGUGUGCAAGAAAUUCUCUUCUGGUAAACAAGAUUCUUGACAUGAAUAGGGCCUAAAAAUGUUAUUAUUAAUGUCUUGUAUAAGCUAACUCGAUAAGAGGGCACUUUGAGAGGAUGCUUUACAUUUAUUUGCUACCAUCUUUUAAUAAUUGUGGGACUUAUGAUGAU